This is a transfer RNA of Camelus ferus (Wild Bactrian camel), 72 nucleotides long. It matches the Rfam family "tRNA". From Rfam's summary of the family: Transfer RNA (tRNA) molecules are approximately 80 nucleotides in length. Their secondary structure includes four short double-helical elements and three loops (D, anti-codon, and T loops). NCBI's taxonomy places the organism in Eukaryota, Metazoa, Chordata, Mammalia, Artiodactyla, Camelidae. The record is from Rfam.
GAGGGUAUAGCUCAGUGGUAGAGUGCAUGCUUAGCAUGCAUGAGCAACUGGGUUCAAUCCCCAGUACCAACA